Asparagus officinalis (garden asparagus) is the source of this 579-nucleotide long non-coding RNA. RefSeq lists it as uncharacterized. The transcript has 3 exons. NCBI's taxonomy places the organism in Eukaryota, Viridiplantae, Streptophyta, Magnoliopsida, Asparagales, Asparagaceae. The record is from RefSeq and is a predicted model, not a curated record.
UAAUAUGUAUGAAAGACUUAAGAAGUCCUUCUAUAUUAUUGGUUGAACCUUGUAGCCCUCUUAUAAACAUGCUCCUUAUUCGCUAAUCUUCACAUCCUCAGUAAAUUUCGAGACCAUUAGCUCUUGAGAAACCAAGAAAAAUGAGUUGUACACGCUCGUCUUGCAGGCCAGGCAAUAGUUGUGGCCCUUUCUGUUUAUACUAUGAUUCCAAUGCGUAUUAUAACCAUAUCGCACCGCAACUAAAAGAAAGAGAUGACAAGAUUGUCGAUGCACUAAAGCACAUCAACGUCAAUCAAAGAGGAGGCGGAGGAGGAGGAGGAGGUGGUGGUGGUAGGGGAGGAAACGGUAGCACACAAACAAUUAACAUAACUAUCCAGUCCAGAAAAUGAUCCUUCAACAUUUGGUCCUAUCAUAAGAUGUGGAAGUCCAAAUAGUCGCUUCUUCAGUUUCUUUGUAUGCGUGUGUUUAUGUUCGUGACUUCGGUGUGAUUCUCUUGAUAUAAUUGGAAUAGUAGCAAUAAAUGUGAACUGUAGUUUGUUGCAUAAUUAAGGGAAAUUGUUUGUUUUUUUUUUUAUUCUA